AUACGGAGGGGGCAAGCGUUGUUCGGAAUUACUGGGCGUAAAGGGCGCGCAGGCGGUUUUGUUAGUCAGGCGUGAAAUCCCCGGGCUUAACCUGGGAAUUGCGUUUGAUACUGCAAAACUAGAGUUCGGGAGAGGGUAGUGGAAUUCCCAGUGUAGAGGUGAAAUUCGUGGAUAUUGGGAAGAACACCAGUGGCGAAGGCGGCUACCUGGACCGAUACUGACGCUGAGGCGCGAAAGCGUGGGGAGCAAACAGGAUUAGAAACCCUAGUAGUCC
Molecule: ribosomal RNA, 274 nt
Filed under: uncultured bacterium
Lineage: Bacteria
Description: partial 16S ribosomal RNA
Rfam family: Bacterial small subunit ribosomal RNA
Source: RNAcentral